Molecule: ribosomal RNA, 956 nt
Filed under: Kodamaea ohmeri
Lineage: Eukaryota; Fungi; Ascomycota; Pichiomycetes; Serinales; Debaryomycetaceae
Description: eukaryotic LSU rRNA
Rfam family: 5.8S ribosomal RNA (bases 400-551)
Source: RNAcentral
GGGUUAAAGUGGGCGGUAUGGUUUUCCGGUCUAUUCUCAUGUCUAAGGACGCGGGGUUUUCAGGCCAGUUUUCAGGAAAAAACAAGGCCUUUGAGCAAACCUUUUCUUUCAAGUCAAGUAGGCUUAUCUUCGUCAAUUCGAUACACGCCGUGAGGUUCGUAAAGUAUUGGCAGAAGGAAGGAGCUCGCGGGAAUCCCCAAUGGGGAAUUGCGUCAAGGAUUGGGUGAUACCCAGAUGCUGCGACCAAAAGGCUCGAACCGGGCAGCCGUUUGAGAAAAAAGGGAACAAGGUUUCCGUAGGUGAACCUGCGGAAGGAUCAUUAACAUAAUAUUCUUACACACUGUUUUUUUACAACAAAACAAACAUAUUUAAAAACAAUUCUUUCCAAGAAAUUCUUAAAACUUUCAACAACGGAUCUCUUGGUUCUCGCAUCGAUGAAGAACGCAGCGAAAUGCGAUACGUAAUACGAAUCGCAGCUCUCGGAAUCAUCGAAUCUUUGAACGCACAUUGCACCAUUGGGUAUUCCCAAUGGUAUGCUUGUUUGAGCGAAUACUUCCCUAAUCCUCACGGAUUGUAUUGUGUUUGCACGAAAAUAAUGACGACAGUACUCUACAAAACGGUACCGUCAGUACGCUCAUUUUUUUUCCUCAAAUCAAGUAGGACUACCCGCUGAACUUAAGCAUAUCAAUAAGCGGAGGAAAGGAAGCCAACCAUGCCCACUUACAUGCCAAGCUGUUUCAAAUGUCACGCAACAGCCCCGGGGACUGCCCAUUCUUAGCACAGGUACAAACAGGUUCGAUGGCCCCUCAACUCCACUUAAUUAUGUUUCGAUUACAAAGCUUGGUAUAUCCUAUUAAACUGCCGUCUUGCUCCAGUGAAAUAUUUCAUGGCUUUUUCCAUAUAAUCCGUCACUCCUUCCAACAUACGAAUACCGACCCGACCUUUAUUUCUGAUCC